This 472-nucleotide ribosomal RNA is filed under the name uncultured bacterium. RNAcentral describes it as "bacterial SSU rRNA". It matches the Rfam family "Bacterial small subunit ribosomal RNA", at positions 335 to 798 of the family's 1533-position model. The record is from RNAcentral.
ACUCCUACGGGAGGCAGCAGUGGGGAAUAUUGCACAAUGGGCGCAAGCCUGAUGCAGCCAUGCCGCGUGUGUGAAGAAGGCCUUCGGGUUGUAAAGCACUUUCAGUCGUGAGGAAGGUAGUGUAGUUAAUAGCUGCAUUAUUUGUACGUUAGCGACAGAAGAAGCACCGGCUAACUCCGUGCCAGCAGCCGCGGUAAUACGGAGGGUGCGAGCGUUAAUCGGAAUUACUGGGCGUAAAGCGCAUGCAGGUGGUUUGUUAAGUCAGAUGUGAAAGCCCGGGGCGUCAACCUCGGAAUAGCAUUUGAAACUGGCAGACUAGAGUACUGUAGAGGGGGUUAGAAUUUCAGGUGUAGCGGUGAAAUGCGUAGAGAUCUGAAGGAAUACCGGUGGCGAAGGCGGCCCCUGGACAGAUACUGACACUCAGAUGCGAAAGCGUGGGAGCAAACAGGAUUAGAUACCCCUGGUAGACUGU